AGAGGAGGAGAGCGCCGAGAGAGGGACACCGGAGACACUUCAUCCAUUCAGCAGUGGUUCAACACCGGACCGCCGUGUAGGAGGUCGAGUUUGUCCUGCUCUGCCGGUCAUCGUCAGCCUGUGAGGAGGACUCGUCUCACGGUCAGGCUGCUCUCUAGCUGCUCCUGCUACAUGGCCAGCUAGCACAAUAAAGCUAACUGUUAGCUUCUGGAGCAGCUUCACACCCAGGAGCCCGGCGGAGAGGAGAGCCGAGGAGGGGGAUGGAAAGAGCUGGAGCCGAUAAACCUUUCAGGAGAAGCAACGACUAACCAGACUAAACCAGCCCAGAUUUGUUUACUUGUUUAAAUCAACGGUUGUUGGUGUAACUGCAAUCUCCACCAUGGUGCAGAAGUACCAGUCACCUGUGCAGGUGUACAAGUAUCCCUUUGAGCUGGUGAUGGCGUUGUACUUCCGGGUCGACUGUCAUGGCGGCGCCCUGGUGGAGCAGAAGGUAGAGCCUGAACCGCCACAGAGACACCAGAGACUACAGAGACCACAGAGACUACAGAGACCACAGAGACAGCAGCCGGCAUGCCGUUCAGAGACCUGCUGAAGUGGAACACCAGGGUGUCUGCGGUCUACGCCGUCGGGAUCUGGACCAUGGUCGGGUCCUACGCGCUGGUCCGGUUCUCACGUCGACACGAGGAGCCGCCAGUCAAAAAAGAAGAAGAGUUUCAAGAGCCAGAAGAUCCAAAUCAGGUCGUCCACCUAACGGCUCACUCCAAAACCGUCAUCGUCUACAGGAAAGACUUUGUCCCGUACAGCACAAGGAUCUACAACUUCCUCCGGUCCUUCAGCGGGGGACCUGAGAGAGGAGACGGGGACAAAUGACCACGGACACUGGGCUUGUCAAGAGCACGUUCUCAGAAUGCACUAUGAAUUUAUGCUUUCGUGUGAGGAUACUCUCUUUAUUUGUGAAAGAAAUUCCAGCACACUCUGCAGGUCUGAGGCAGCAGCCAUGGUGUUUGGUGAUGUCUGAGCCCAGAUAUAUAUUUUAUUAUUUAUUUGCCAACAAUAUUCAGUAAUGUUACUGUCCGCGCCUGUCCACAAUACAACGGUGUAUGAAUGAACCUCAUCUGUUAAUUGUUUGAGGCAGAAGGUGUCGUGCUAUUUGAAUAUGUAUGAUUGUUUUACAGAGCUUGUCAUUAUCUUGAUUGAUGACUGAGAUGAGCACUACCUUUGUGAAGCUUUAAACGGUUGAUGUGCAUAAGAGAGCUGCUGAUAAGUGUUACUAAUAACAUUAAAGGUGUUUUUAGGGUUAACUCUAACAUUACUAAUAACAUUAGAGGUGUUUUUAGGGUUAACUCUAACAUUACUAAUAACAUUAGAGAUGUUUUUAGGGUUAACGCU
Anoplopoma fimbria (sablefish) is the source of this 1389-nucleotide RNA transcript. It is a transcript of the gene named small integral membrane protein 26-like, with no coding region annotated. NCBI's taxonomy places the organism in Eukaryota, Metazoa, Chordata, Actinopteri, Perciformes, Anoplopomatidae. The transcript is spliced from 5 exons. The record is from RefSeq and is a predicted model, not a curated record.